This is a long non-coding RNA of Pipra filicauda (Wire-tailed manakin), 239 nucleotides long. RefSeq lists it as uncharacterized. The record is from RefSeq and is a predicted model, not a curated record. The transcript has 2 exons. NCBI's taxonomy places the organism in Eukaryota, Metazoa, Chordata, Aves, Passeriformes, Pipridae.
CCCACCCAGACAUUCACCCUGGGUCACAGUGGUGGAAAUAGCUGCUAUUGCUAUUUCAGGUGACAGCAAUAAAUAAGGAAGGGAAACUCAGAUGAGAAAGGUAAUGCUGGCAGUUUUGGAAGAUGGGAUAAGGCUUUGCAAGACAAUAUUCAGAGGAGAAUUCAGCAAAGAGUCGUUCUUCUCCCUUUCACAAUCUAUCCAUCUUCCAGAUGGCAAGAUAAACCUACUAAGGAAAGCGA